This 235-nucleotide non-coding RNA is filed under the name Dictyoglomus thermophilum H-6-12. RNAcentral's name for it is "Dictyoglomi-1 RNA". It matches the Rfam family "Dictyoglomi-1 RNA". Lineage: Bacteria; Pseudomonadati; Dictyoglomota; Dictyoglomia; Dictyoglomales; Dictyoglomaceae. The record is from Rfam by way of RNAcentral.
UGCUACAGGCGUCAAGGGGUCCGAAAGGUACUCCUGAUGUACCUUGGCACUGAGUAAAGUCUUGGGUACCUAGGGAAAGGUGAAGGAGCUAGACUCCUUACCAAGUACUUAGGGGGUGGAGAGUAGUAGGAGUGUUGGAGAAGCCCGGUGCUCCUAUGAAAUCUGGAAAAUCCUGAGGCUGAAAGGUGAGAAGGUACAAGGAGGCUUCCAAGUAGGGUCUGUUGAGCCUGUGGCA